This 342-nucleotide ribosomal RNA is filed under the name Morchella cf. elata NRRL 22447. RNAcentral describes it as "SSU rRNA". It matches the Rfam family "Bacterial small subunit ribosomal RNA", at positions 349 to 729 of the family's 1533-position model. Lineage: Eukaryota; Fungi; Ascomycota; Pezizomycetes; Pezizales; Morchellaceae. The record is from RNAcentral.
UAGCAGUGAGGGAAUAUUGGUCAAUAGCCUAACGGCUGAACCAGCGAUUUGAAGGAAUGAAUAUCAACAUUUUAUUAUUUUUGAAUAAAGUUCUGGCUAGAAUAAUGAUAAUGACAAUUUUCUAUCUAAAUGUCUUGACUAAGUCACGUGCCAGCAGUCGCGGUAAUACGUGAGAGACGAGCGUUAUUCAUCUUUAAUUGGUUUAAAGGGUACCUAGACGGUAAUUCUUGCCUUAGAAUGGGAACAGAAUUACUAGAGUUUUAUGUGAAAAGCUUAGAAUUGGUGGUGUAGAGAUAAUAUACAAAAAUACCAUUAGGACUGGUAAAGGCGAAGGCAAACUUU